This 450-nucleotide ribosomal RNA is filed under the name uncultured bacterium. RNAcentral describes it as "partial 16S ribosomal RNA". It matches the Rfam family "Bacterial small subunit ribosomal RNA", at positions 354 to 796 of the family's 1533-position model. The record is from RNAcentral.
GUGGGGAAUUUUGGACAAUGGGCGCAAGCCUGAUCCAGCAAUGCCGCGUGCAGGAAGAAGGCCUUCGGGUUGUAAACUGCUUUUGUACGGAACGAAACGGUCCGGGUUAAUACCCUGGGCUAAUGACGGUACCGUAAGAAUAAGCACCGGCUAACUACGUGCCAGCAGCCGCGGUAAUACGCAGGGUGCAAGCGUUAAUCGGAAUUACUGGGCGUAAAGCGUGCGCAGGCGGUUUUGUAAGACAGGAGUGAAAUCCCCGGGCUCAACCUGGGAAUUGCGCUUGUGACUGCAAGGCUGGAGUGCGGCAGAGGGGGAUGGAAUUCCGCGGGUAGCAGUGAAAUGCGUAGAUAUGCGGAGGAACACCGAUGGCGAAGGCAAUCCCCUGGGCCUGCACUGACGCUCAUGCACGAAAGCGUGGGGAGCAAACAGGAUUAGAAACCCCUGUAGUCC